UUAUAAGUAAGUUCAUUAUUGAAACUUUGCAUGAAUGCAUAUGCAAUAAUAAUCCAGUAAUAUCCUUUACUAUAAUAAAGAAUUGAAAUACAAUAACAUGCAUAGUACACAUGUAUACUAUGCAUGUUAUAUGCACUUUUAUUUUGAAGUACAUUUUGCUCACAAUAUUUCUGUUCUGUAAGUAAAGUAUUGAUGGUAAUACUUGCUACUUAAAUCAAAAUGCUUCCCCGCCUGUGGAAACAAAGAGGACCAGAGGCUGCUUGUUGUAUACUGGUGCUGUACUGUGGAGCUGGUGAAUGUAUUCAUGGAGUAGUUUAUUUAUAGAGAGGUGACAGAUUAUUAAUGGAAACAUCAGAUUGUUUUGUGGGGUCAUGUCCUCGGUAUUUCUACGACCCUGCAUGAUUUAGAUAAACCGAAUAAAAUAAAAUAAACUGUGAGAUAAGGUGAUUAAAAGAAUUGUGUCUUUAAAAAAAGCCUUUUUUAUUUGUAUAGAUGUAUUCACCGUUGUCAUUGUGUUGGUGCACUGGUCCAGUUUGGGAACCACUCACUGGUUUAUUUUACAGCUUCAGAGGCCGGCAAAUGCUGCUGUCAAUCACUCAGUCUGGAUGCACCUCCUUUCCAGUUGGGAGCGCGCGGGGGCUUCGCAUCUGGAUCUUUACGCGUCGCUCGGUCCACGCCCACUAGACUGCCCUCUUCCCCCGCUGCGGCCCACACACACACACUCGGCUCAGGACUUUUUUUUCCGCGGCUGGAGACCUGUCGUGCUCUUCUCCUUCUUCUCCUUCUGUUUUUUUUUUUUUUACAGCUCCUACAAUUCGUCAAGUCUCGUCUCGCUCUUUCUUUUACAAUGGCCGUGCGUGGCGUGAUUUGCGCUCAGCAGCGCAAUAGUUAAUGAGUGCCGGAUGCGCCCUCACUCCAGCAGACCGCUACAGUACGAAGAUGGCGUCGGAGGGAGCCAGCGGAGAGCAGCCUCCUCCGGUACAAACACUGGCAACUGCCGUGCUGGGAAGUGUCGACACGAAAUGUGAGUUCAACAUGGAUAACUUGAGCAAGCCAGAGCUACUCACCCUGCUGAGUAUCAUGGAGGGGGAGCUGGAGGCCCGCGACCUGGUCAUAGAGGCCCUGAGGGUGAGUCUAGACAACACACUCCUGUACUCAUUAGCUAAGCCUCUGCCGAACUGCUAUUGUCAGGUUAAGUCAAACACAACCUG
This 1211-nucleotide long non-coding RNA is filed under the name Cottoperca gobio. RNAcentral's name for it is "lncRNA (ENSCGOG00000015579.1)". The record is from RNAcentral. Lineage: Eukaryota; Metazoa; Chordata; Actinopteri; Perciformes; Bovichtidae.